UGCGAGUCGCGCGAGAAAGCCCCUUCGGGGGUGAGUAAAGCGGCGGACGGGUGAGUAACACGUGGAUAACCUACCCCGGGGAUGGGGAUAACCCUGCGAAAGCGGGGCUAAUACCGGAUACGCCGCAUUUUGCCUGGGUGUUAAGUCAUGGAGGCGAUUUGCGGGAAAGGUGGCCUCUGAUGCAAGCCGCCGCCCCGGGAUGGGUUCGCGUCCCAUUAGCUAGUCGGUAGGGUAACGGCCUACCGAGGCGACGAUGGGUAGCCGGCCUGAGAGGGUGAUCGGCCACACUGGGACUGGAACACGGCCCAGACUCCUACGGGAGGCAGCAGUGGGGAAUCUUGGGCAAUGGGCGCAAGCCUGACCCAGCGACGCCGCGUGUGGGAAGAAGGCCUUCGGGUCGUAAACCACUGUCAGGAGGGAAGAAAAGCAGUCGCCGAACAGGCGGCUGUCUUGACGGUACCUCCGGGAGGAAGCACCGGCCAACUCCGUGCCAGCAGCCGCGGUAAUACGGAGGGUGCAAGCGUUAUUCGGAAUCACUGGGCGUAAAGGGCGCGUAGGCGGCUGCGCAAGUCAGAUGUGAAAUCCCUCGGCUUACCCGGGGAACUGCAUCUGAAACUGCGUAGCUAGAGUUCGGGAGAGGGCGGCGGAAUUCCCGGUGUAGGGGUGAAAUCCGUAGAUAUCGGGAAGAACACCAGAGGCGAAGGCGGCCGCCUGGACCGAAACUGACGCUGAGGCGCGAAAGCGUGGGUAGCAAACAGGAUUAGAUACCCUGGUAGUCCACGCUGUAAACGUUGGACGCUAGAUGCC
This 807-nucleotide ribosomal RNA is filed under the name uncultured bacterium. RNAcentral describes it as "bacterial SSU rRNA". It matches the Rfam family "Bacterial small subunit ribosomal RNA", at positions 56 to 824 of the family's 1533-position model. The record is from RNAcentral.